CGGAUUUAAUACCCCCCAUAGGAUUUUAAGAGGGGGCAUUCAUUUUUAUAUUAAAAGAAUUUUCGGUACAAAGAUGAGGCAUGCGUCCCAUUAACCUAGGUUGGUAUGGUAACGGGCAUACCAAAGGCUUUUGAUGGGUAGGGGUUCCUGAGAAGGGAGAUCCCCCACCACUGGUACUGAGACACGGACCAAGAUUCCUACGGGAGGCAGCAGUGAGGAAUAUUGGUCAAUGGACGCAAGUCUGAAACCAGCCAUGCCGCGUGCAGGAUGACGGUCCUAUCGAUUGUAAACUGCUUUUGUACGGGAAGAAACGACUCUACGUGUAGGGUUUUGACGGUACCGUAAGAAUAAGGAUCGGCUAACUCCGUGCCAGCAGCCGCGGUAAUACGGAGGAUCCAAGCGUUAUCCGGAAUCAUUGGGUUUAAAGGGUCCGUAGGCGGUUUUAUAAGUCAGUGGUGAAAUCCGGCAGCUCAACUGUCGAACUGCCAUUGAUACUGUAGAACUUGAAUUAUUGUGAAGUAACUAGAAUAUGUAGUGUAGCGGUGAAAUGCUUAGAUAUUACAUGGAAUACCAAUUGCGAAGGCAGGUUACUAACAAUACAUUGACGCUGAUGGACGAAAGCGUGGGGAGCGAACAGGAUUAGAUACCCUGGUAGUCCACGCCGUAAACGAUGGAUACUAGCUGUUCGGAAGCAAUUCUGAGUGGCUAAGCGAAAGUGAUAAGUAUCCCACCUGGGGAGUACGAACGCAAGUUUGAAACUCAAAGGAAUUGACGGGGGCCCGCACAAGCGGUGGAGCAUGUGGUUUAAUUCGAUGAUACGCGAGGAACCUUACCAGGGCUUAAAUGUAGAGUGACAGGACUGGAAACAGUUUUUUCUUCGGACACUUUACAAGGUGCUGCAUGGUUGUCGUCAGCUCGUGCCGUGAGGUGUCAGGUUAAGUCCUAUAACGAGCGCAACCCCUGUUGUUAGUUGCCAUCGAGUAAUGUCGGGAACUCUAACAAGACUGCCGGUGCAAACCGCGAGGAAGGUGGGGAUGACGUCAAAUCAUCACGGCCCUUACGUCCUGGGCUACACACGUGCUACAAUGGCCGGUACAGAGAGCAGCCACCUGGUGACAGGGAGCGAAUCUAUAAAGCCGGUCACAGUUCGGAUUGGAGUCUGCAACCCGACUCCAUGAA
This 1179-nucleotide ribosomal RNA is filed under the name Flavobacterium beibuense. Its description in RNAcentral is "bacterial SSU rRNA". It matches the Rfam family "Bacterial small subunit ribosomal RNA", at positions 158 to 1324 of the family's 1533-position model. Lineage: Bacteria; Pseudomonadati; Bacteroidota; Flavobacteriia; Flavobacteriales; Flavobacteriaceae. The record is from RNAcentral.